GCGGGGGUUCCCGAGCCAGGUCAAAGGGGACAGACUCAAGAUCUGUUCGCGUAGGCGUUCGUGGGUUCAAAUCCCACCCCCCGCA
RNAcentral lists this transfer RNA (85 nucleotides) under Candidatus Bathyarchaeota archaeon. Its description in RNAcentral is "tRNA-Leu". It matches the Rfam family "tRNA". Rfam says of the family: Transfer RNA (tRNA) molecules are approximately 80 nucleotides in length. Their secondary structure includes four short double-helical elements and three loops (D, anti-codon, and T loops). RNAcentral also lists the same sequence under 1 other name. The record is from RNAcentral. Lineage: Archaea; Thermoproteati; Candidatus Bathyarchaeota.